AAAUAGCCUAUGAUGAUAGCAUAGUUCAUCAGAUAGUAUACUGUUGAUAUAUUUGUCUUUCGCUCCUAUCUGAGGCUGAUG
Molecule: small nucleolar RNA, 81 nt
Organism: Mercenaria mercenaria
Lineage: Eukaryota; Metazoa; Mollusca; Bivalvia; Venerida; Veneridae
Product: small nucleolar RNA snR60/Z15/Z230/Z193/J17
Exons: 1
Source: RefSeq, a predicted model, not a curated record